RNAcentral lists this ribosomal RNA (263 nucleotides) under uncultured archaeon. Its description in RNAcentral is "partial 16S ribosomal RNA". It matches the Rfam family "Archaeal small subunit ribosomal RNA", at positions 748 to 1009 of the family's 1478-position model. The record is from RNAcentral.
CAGCCGUAAACUAAUGCGCGUUAGGUGUAUCGGUGACCACGAGUUACCGAGGUGCCGAAGGGAAACCGUGAAACGUGCCGCCUGGGAAGUACGGUCGCAAGGCUGAAACUUAAAGGAAUUGGCGGGGGAGGCACCACAACAGGUGGAGCCUGCGGUUUAAUUGGACUCAACGCCGGGAAGCUCACCGGAUAGGACAGCAGAAUGAUUGCCGGGCUGAAGACCCUGCAUGACUAGCUGAGAGGAGGUGCAUGGCGUAGACGUCU